AGUACUGACGCUGAGAUGCGAAGCGUGGGAGCAAACAGGAUUAGAUACCCUGGUAGUCACGCUGUAAACGAUGUCGAUUUGGAGUUUGGGGGCAUGUCCCUUGGGCUCCGGAGCUAACGCGUUAAAUCGACCGCUGGGGAGUACGGCCGCAAGGUUAAAACUCAAAUGAAUUGACGGGGGCCCGCACAAGCGGUGGAGCAUGUGGUUUAAUUCGAUGCAACGCGAAGAACCUUACCUGGUCUUGACAUCCAUAGAAUCUUUCAGAGAUGAGAGAGUGCCUUCGGGAGCUAUGAGACAGGUGCUGCAUGGCUGUCGUCAGCUCGUGUUGUGAAAUGUUGGGUUAAGUCCCGCAACGAGCGCAACCCUUAUCCUUUGUUGCCAGCGGUUCGGCCGGGAACUCAAAGGAGACUGCCGUUGAUAAAGCGGAGGAAGGUGGGGACGACGUCAAGUCAUCAUGGCCCUUACGACCAGGGCUACACACGUGCUACAAUGGCGUAUACAAAGGGAAGCGAAGGAGCGAUCUGGAGCGGACCUCCUAAAGUACGUCUAAGUCCGGAUUGGAGUCUGCAACUCGACUCCAUGAAGUCGGAAUCGCUAGUAAUCGUGAAUCAGAAUGUCACGGUGAAUACGUUCCCGGGCCUUGUACACACCGCCCGUCACACCAUGGGAGUGGGUUGCACCAGAAGUAGAUAGCUUAACCGAAAGGGGGGCGUUUACCACGGUGUGAUUCAUGACUGGGGUGAAGUCGUAACAAGGUAACCAAGGGCGAAUUCUG
This 775-nucleotide ribosomal RNA is filed under the name uncultured Enterobacteriaceae bacterium. Its description in RNAcentral is "bacterial SSU rRNA". It matches the Rfam family "Bacterial small subunit ribosomal RNA", at positions 736 to 1515 of the family's 1533-position model. Lineage: Bacteria; Pseudomonadati; Pseudomonadota; Gammaproteobacteria; Enterobacterales; Enterobacteriaceae. The record is from RNAcentral.